RNAcentral lists this ribosomal RNA (206 nucleotides) under uncultured bacterium. Its description in RNAcentral is "partial 16S ribosomal RNA". It matches the Rfam family "Bacterial small subunit ribosomal RNA", at positions 568 to 774 of the family's 1533-position model. The record is from RNAcentral.
UGCGUAGGCGGCAUGUCAAGCCAGAGGUGAAAGGCAUUGGCUCAACCAAUGUAAGCCUUUGGAACUGACGCGCUUGAGUACAGGAGAGGUAAGUGGAAUUCCUAGUGUAGAGGUGAAAUUCGUAGAUAUUAGGAGGAACACCAGUGGCGAAGGCGACUUACUGGACUGUAACUGACGCUGAGGCACGAAAGCGUGGGUAGCGAACA